Molecule: long non-coding RNA, 3945 nt
Organism: Patiria miniata (bat star)
Lineage: Eukaryota; Metazoa; Echinodermata; Asteroidea; Valvatida; Asterinidae
Exons: 2
Source: RefSeq, a predicted model, not a curated record
GGAUGAUACAUGUAACUUGACUCUGGCUGAGGGGUUUCAACAGCAACGCUGUUAUUUAUUUUUUUACUACACUAACCCUAGGUAUUUUUGUGACUCUAUGGCUGGUAUGUGUGUAUAGUCAGCACUGAAUAUUCUGGAUGCACACUCAGUCAUAGAACCCAGCAUCCCCUAUGAGGUCUGCAGUACUUUCCUAGAAUCCCCACUGAUUGCUGGCAUGAUACUUUUGAGAAUUAAUAUACUGAGAAAAGGUCUUGGUGUCAGCAGAUGAUAUGCCUGGCUUGAAUGUUGGGAUUGUUGAAGUGCAAUGAGCUGUUGAUCAUAAGGUACAUGUAUGCAUUAAGCAUACUUCAUACCUCUGGCAUGUCUGGUGCCUGAAAUAGUUUUCUGUCUUACCUUUAUUCAAUCAAAGCCAAAUAGCAUAGUUUUUUUUUAUUGUAUCAUGAUGCCUUAUGGAAUUCCAAUAUGGCUAUUAAUUAUCAAUGUAUGAAUUCCCAGCCAUUAUCACUGGCUUACAUGUACAUGUAGUUGUAAUUUUUAAGAUGUGACCUCGGAUAAAACAAGACACGUUUAUGAGUCUGUAAAGAUUAAACGCUGAUUGCAAUCACAUCCUGGUGGUUAGUUUCCCUUACAUGUAAAUGCAAUAAGGAAGAAGGAAAUAAUACUUUACAAAAUCCUGACAAAAUUUCAUCGUGCAUAACACAUGUAUAUGCAUAGGGGCUGUGCACUUUAAAAUAAUUUAGUAUUUGAAUAUUCAGACUUGGAUUUGAUUAGAUAUUUGAAUAUUCAAAAAAUGCUGAUCAAGCUUUCCUUGUGCGAGCCUACAUUGCUGCAACAGUGGAAAUUAAAUGGGACACUGAUUGGGAUUUGCUUGCCUUAAUUCUUUUAAACAUUAAAGGUAGAGUACAUCAUUUGUCAUUUGUGCAUUUUUUUUUUUUAAAUUUGAAGCAACAAAAGUGCUCAAAAUCUAAAGAAGGGUGCUUAACAACUAAUAUGAUGAAGUUUCAACUCUGUGAAUGCUAAACGUUCCGAGAAAACAAUAUUCUAGGGUCUUGAUUUCAAUUCAAAAGUUGCCGAGUCAUGUUUUGAAUUGCUUCCGAAAUCAGCGUCUGGGACACGUUCUCAUUCAGUCAGUUGCAGCUACAUUGUGUACGCGAUGUCACGCAUUGAACUUAGGAAUAGAAGCAACUGUGCGCCUGUGCAUCAUGUCAACGCUUGCGCGAACUCAUUCUCAGCUUCGCCUUAUUAAUAACAAACUGCUGCAAAUGAUGUACUCUACCUUUAAGAACAUCGUUAACUUAAAAUGUUUAGAGGUAGCUGACCAGCGGAUACCGGUACUGGACAGAUUUUGAUGAUGGAAAUUAAAGCUGCUAUUCCUCACUUAAAUCAGACUGUCAACAAAAAUGUGGCAUUUGGCAGACAAUAGAACCACGCAAGAGGGACACUAAGAGGGACAUUCAAAUGCAUUGCCUAGAGUAUUGGACACUCACGCGUGCACAUUCGGAAUAAAAGUAGUCCUACAUGUACAUACACGUAUACAUGUAUACAUUUACUUUCUCGCUUGCUAUGUACAAAUGAAAUACGUAUUCAUGUACAAUGUAUGCACGCAGUGUGUCCCUCUGACUGGGGCUGUUGAGAGUGAUCGUAAAGCACCAUCUACUGUUUGUGCACAGAGACCAUGCAUGUACUGUAUUGUACCGUAAGUUCAUGUACAUGUACAUUGUCAAAGAGUGAACGAUCCACAUGUGUAACCUACAUACGUGUACAAACGUGUAUGUUAUUUUUGGGAAGUCGUUUAAAUAUAAAAAUGCUUUUUCUGAAUAUGUGCCACAGGAUCCUUGCAUGACUGCACAUGUACAGUUAUGACGGUAUUCUUUGUGACACUGAUGCUGAGGUUGUAUACCGGUACGUGUGGGUCGUGCAUGGUCAUUGUCACAAAUGGCUGAUGAAGACACAAAUGGUGGAUGAAGAUACAAAUGGUGGAUGAAGACAUUUGGAGAUGGAGCAGUCACAUGCCAUGAGCAUAGCAGUGGACAGCACAUUGGAUCUUGUACUGUAGGAUCAAGUUAAACAAUAAUUUGCAAGCAGGAGGGGAUAUUUUUGGGAACGUUAUCACAUCUGUUCUUUAUUGUGUAUGCACACUGGGAAAAAAACCCUGGAAAUGCAUUGGAAAGCCAUCCUCAUUCACAGAAAAUAACGUAUAGAGGAAUUUCGAAUGAGCACCUUCUGCGCAGUUCUGUAUCUGUAUCUGUAUAUUAUAGUUGGUAAAGCAUCCCAGGGGAAACAUCACACCAACUUAGAGAGAAGACAAUGAGAAGAAAUUACAGUUUUCCGCAUUGAAACCGAGGCUCUCGGUGGCACACAUUCUGCAUGCGCUAUUCGUUACAACAGGCAGGUAGGUCGGUCCUCUCAUAUAAGACGUUUGCCUUUCUGUAAAUCUUGCGAAUUUUUAGUGGUGGUGGCAUGUAAUAAAUCCAUAGUUGAUAGCAUAAAUCUACGAGUAUGUCACUGCCAUGCUAUUAAAGAAUAUACCAAUAUUGUUGACCAAUUUUUUGUUCUUCGACGCACUAUUUUGUGUAGUAUAUUGGCCAUGUCGGCAUACUCAGGGAACCUGAAGAUUACGCGUGGUCACUGUAGGCCAAAGUUCAGAAACUAGACCAAUUUUUGUGGCUCCUCAAAUUAUUCUGAAAUAUUAUUGCUGUUUCGUAGUUUUAUGAGUUUAGGUUGCUCAGCUGUUUUUGAUAGACUGGUAGAAUAUUGGAAAGAAGACAGUGCCAUCUGCAAUUAGAUUCCAGGUUUGCAGAUGUGAUUAAAUGGAGGCUCUACAUGUACCUCUAGUAUGUUUACAUCUUUAACGAUUGAAGAAAUUAGCUAAGAGUGGUGCAUUGAUAUAGAAAAAUCCAUGUGAGAAACUUUACUUGACAUCAUUGUCAUUUUAAAACAGUUUUUGAAAAUUACAUGAAUGGAUUUUUUUUAUUCAUUACACAAUAGCUUAUCUGACAAGAUGACAUUCCAGGAGGAAAACGGGAUGUUUGUGUGCCUGUCCUUCUAAAACUAAAAUGUGAAGAGCUAAAGGUUUUGGCUUAAAUGUCGUGGAGAUUCUUGCAAGGGCUUCAAUUAAAAACCAAGGCGCAGAUGAUAGAGAGAAUCCAACAGAUUGUUAGAAAUGGAAAUGAGCCUACAAUCAUUGAUCCCACUCCAGAUAAGCAUUGGGAGAGUCUCCAGUGCAGGGUCAGCUGGCAUUAACUGGAGCAGAAUAGUGCGACUUUGUUGUUUACACACACAAAGGUUUAAUCAUUCAACGAACACCUUUUGAAUUAACACUUUGGAAUUAACACUUUGGAAUAUCCUAUAUUAUAGAAAUUUCAGAACUAAAUCAGAAGUAUAUUUGGCUUCUACAUCUAAGUGGCUACAGCAUUGGCUGAUAUGGUUCUUUUUGUUAUAUUUUGCAUUGUGAAUAUUAGGAUUCAUAGUUUUAAGAGGCAUUCCUAUUGAUACAUGUACAUGUAGUUUGUAAUCAUAAGACAUUAGGCAUAAGUGAUCAACUGGUAUCGCACACUGGUUUUGGGAUCAAACUUUCGUCAAAUAGUGUCAAUGUAGACCCCUAUCAAAUUAUCAGAAACAAAAAGGUGUACUUGUAUAACUCAGUUGUAUGCAUUUAUUGAAACUUAAAGUGAGAGGUUGUACAUCCUUAUCUUGACCUCUUUGAGUGAACAAAUAUUUUGUGGCAAGUUUUGCAAGGGUCAUUUAAGGGCUAACAUCAAAAUACACAGUUAUGAAAAUAAGUCAACAGGCCAAGCACAUUAACAUUUAUUUUUUUAUUUCAUAUUUAUUCCACAGGCAUUACAGUGCCUGAAUGUAAAAUAAAGCAAAAACACUUUAAUAAAAUCAAGAAAAUGCUGGGCACAUUUGAAAUAAAUUGAACAAUGGACAUGUAUUUAAAUUUAA